Molecule: non-coding RNA, 28 nt
Filed under: Mus musculus (house mouse)
Lineage: Eukaryota; Metazoa; Chordata; Mammalia; Rodentia; Muridae
Source: RNAcentral
UGAGAAUAAUGCCUUUGGGAUGAAAUUU